RNAcentral lists this ribosomal RNA (417 nucleotides) under uncultured bacterium. RNAcentral's name for it is "bacterial SSU rRNA". It matches the Rfam family "Bacterial small subunit ribosomal RNA", at positions 366 to 773 of the family's 1533-position model. The record is from RNAcentral.
CUACAAUGGUCGGAAGACUGAUAGUGCGACGCCGCGUGAACGAGGAAUCCCUUCGGGGUGUAAAGUUCUUUUAUAUGUGAGCAGUGGGUUCUACGUUAAUAGCGUGGGAUCAGGGAUAUUAGCAUAUGAAUAAGCAACGGCUAACUCCGUGCCAGCAGCCGCGGUAACACGGGGGUUGCGAGCGUUGUCCGGAAUUACUAGGCGUAAAGGGCAGGUAGGCGGAUCUAUAAGUUUUUUGUCAAAUUCAACGGCUCACCCGUUGCGAGGCAGGAGAUACUGUAGAUCUGGAAUGCGGUUGGGGAAGACAGAAUUCCUGGUGUAGCGGUGGAAUGCGCAGAGAUCAGGAGGAAUACCUAAGGCGAAGGCAGUCUUCUAAGCCGUAAUUGACGCUAAACUGCGAAGGUGUGGGUAUCAAAC